CGGACGGGUGAGUAAUGUCUGGGAAACUGCCCGAAGGGGGGAAUAAACUACUAGAAACGGUAGCUAAUACCGCAUAACGUCGCAAGACCAAAGAGGGGGACCUUCGGGCCUCUUGCCAUCGGAUGUGCCCAGAUGGGAUUAGCUAGUAGGUGGGGUAACGGCUCACCUAGGCGACGAUCCCUAGCUGGUCUGAGAGGAUGACCAGCCACACUGGAACUGAGACACGGUCCAG
Molecule: ribosomal RNA, 232 nt
Filed under: uncultured bacterium
Lineage: Bacteria
Description: partial 16S ribosomal RNA
Rfam family: Bacterial small subunit ribosomal RNA
Source: RNAcentral